CUAAAGACGGCUAAAAUCAGAAAUGUGACCCAUGUCGUCGCGUGCGUUCGGCCGCUGCGUGUGCCGUGUGGAGGACGGGUUCGUGCGACGUCCACGGGGAGGACGAGUCCGACGGCGUGCGUGUAGAGGACCUAACGCGGCGGAGGGAGAGGGAGCGGAGACGUAGAGCGGCGGCGUGCGCAAGGUAGCGGUUUGCGGCGGGCCGGGAUUUGGAGAUUUGGGAUGGUGGCGCACGGGGUGUCGACGGGGGCAGCGGCGGUGACGGCGAGGCCAAGAAGAAGCAGCCCUGAGGAGCAAAGACGGCACAGGUGGGGCAGGCGUUGGAAACCGGCGACCCAAAACUCCUACAGGUUGAGGUUGCAGUGUCACACACACGCUAAGUCCGGCGACUCGGUGUUUCUCUCCUUCCGGUUACUGUUCCAGACGAAGUUCUUUAACCUGAGGCUCAGAAAACAAAAGUUCCUACUCGCCCUGCUUCUACAGUAUAAGUCGAAACUGUUCCACAAGAUACUACUACGCCUUGUCAGACUACACAUGUUAAAGGAACGUCACGGGUAACAACGUCUACGACAGUUACCUUAUUUACCCUGGUAUUAAAGAAUACCAGUCUGACCUCGACCUUUUUGUAUAUCGUACCUCCCCGGUUCGUAGAACGUGACGUUACUCGACUUUUGACCUGACCAAGUCGCACAACAUUUACUAGAAAAACUUACAAAUUCUUGUAGUCUUCUGUAAUGAUGUACCUGACACUUUAACAGUUACCACCUCUAUAUAAACCUUUUUCAUUCCCUGGAAGAACUGAACAGGUUCCUGUUGGAUGUUUAGUUCCUCUCAUUUUCGGUUCCCUAAAAAUAAAUACCUCGUUGUCUCUAUAGCUAAUACUUAUCAAGUCUACGGAACCUCGCGGAAAGACUUCCUUAACGGUUGUCUCGACAACCUCUUUGUGUUUACUUGGACCGGUCGUCAUCUUCAGUGACGCACAUGUAAAAGAGGCACGUCGUACCUAGGUGACGUCUACUAUUCCAUUCCCGGCCCUUCUAACAAGAACAACUGAACCGACCAAGUCUCUUUCAACUCUUUUGACCACGACUUCCCGCUCAAGAACUACUCCGCUUUUGUUAGUUGUUCAGCGAGAGUCGAGAACCUUUACAAUAAUUACGGGAUUGAUGACGAUUUGGCUUAGUACAGGGAAUGGCACUGAGCUUCGAAUGUGCGUAUGAAGUUCUACGUGACCCACCGUCGAGUUCUCGACGUAACGAUACGACGACAAGAGGAUCAAGCAGCUUGCGUGGUCUUUCAGACAGAUGGUAAGCGAAACCUUGGUCCUGCUUCGAGUAUUUCUGAGAUGGGUUUGACUAAGGGUUACUUCACCUGUCGCAGUUCUUCGGGUGGACGAUAAGAGUACUAGUUCUACUAGGCGCACCGUCUCGUGGUUCGUUCCGACCAUCGUCGGUCAGACUCCACAGGCUAGACUCGGAACUAAGAACGCUAGUACUACUAAACGCACUGUCCUAUGACUCGUUCGAUUCCAACUCAGACUUCCUCCUCCUGCACCUAGACGACCUCCUCGACAAACACGUCCUUCCAUAGUAGAAGCUGGGAUUGCGUCGCUACGACCUGUAGCUGGACCGCAAGGUUCUGCAGCGCUCGGCCGUCUAACACAGCGAGCACGUUUGUCACCUCCUCGAGUGUCUUUGACACGUUCUCGAGUGACUGCUCUUGCUCUUCGACUCCGUAGUCGAGCUCAAACGCGUCCUCUAGCGGCGGGCGCGGGUCACGCGGUGGCGCCUGGCCUCGGCACCACGGGACAAACCAAAGCACGGGCGCCGGCAGGAGGCGGGGAAACCUAAGCAAGGUCUGACUACCGAGCUUGUCUGUCGGCCGCAGUGCAUCUAAGGCGUUUAUAAAACGACGGUCUUUGUAGUGUCGUUGCAAUUAGGACUCACGGAACUCCUAGUACAUCACUGUGGAAUACUGUCUAAGAAGGAAAAAACUGUUCUCAUACCGUCUAAGAACACCUUUAGUUAAAACCGAGAUUCCUCGUGUGCGAGGACGCACAGUUUUUACCUAAAAUGUUUACAGUUUCUUUUUCUCUUCUACACAAAUAACAGUGUGGGUUUACUAUGUACGUUUAAAGGUCCCCUUUUUGAAUUCGUAAAUCUGGAUACG
Molecule: ribosomal RNA, 2169 nt
Filed under: Triticum aestivum (bread wheat)
Lineage: Eukaryota; Viridiplantae; Streptophyta; Magnoliopsida; Poales; Poaceae
Description: partial small subunit ribosomal RNA
Source: RNAcentral